GACGAGCCUCACGAACGUUAUUCGGAAUUACUGGGCUUAAAGGGUGCGUAGGCGGUCGUGCAAGUCGGAUGUGAAAUCUCAGGGCUCAACCCUGAAACUGCAUUCGAUACUGCGUGGCUAGAGUGCUGGAGAGGAGACUGGAAUUUACGGUGUAGCAGUGAAAUGCGUAGAGAUCGGGAGGAACAUCUGUGGCGAAGGCGACUGCCUGGACCAGCACUGACACUGAGGCACGAAAGCGUGGGGAGCAAACAGG
RNAcentral lists this ribosomal RNA (253 nucleotides) under uncultured bacterium. RNAcentral describes it as "partial 16S ribosomal RNA". It matches the Rfam family "Bacterial small subunit ribosomal RNA", at positions 524 to 776 of the family's 1533-position model. The record is from RNAcentral.